GCUCAGUAACACGUGGAGAACGUGCCCUUAAGUGGAGGAUAAUCUCGGGAAAUUGAGGAUAAUACUCCAUAGAUCAUGAGAUCUGGAAUGACUCAUGGUUCAAAGUUCCGGCGCUUAAGGAUCGCUCUGCGGCCUAUCAGGUAGUAGUGGGUGUAAAGUACCCCCUAGCCUACGACGGGUAUGGGCCUUGAGAGAGGGAGCCCAGAGUUGGAUUCUGAGACACGAAUCCAGGCCCUACGGGGCGCAGCAGUCGCGAAAACUUCACACUGGGGGGAACCCCGAUGAGGGAAAUCCUAGUGCUAGGACAUUUGUUCUAGCUUUUCUCAAGCGUAGAUAACUUGAGGAAUAAGGGCUGGGUAAGACGGGUGCCAGCCGCCGCGGUAAUACCUGCAGCCCAAGUGGUGGUCGAUUUUAUUGAGUCUAGAACGUUCGUAGCCGGUUUGAUAAAUCUUUGGGUAAAUCGGGAAGCUUAACUUUCCGACUUCCGAAGAGACUGUCAAACUUGGGACCGGGAGAGGCUAGAGGUACUUCUGGGGUAGGGGUAAAAUCCUGUAAUCCUAGAAGGACCACCGGUGGCGAAGGCGUCUAGCUAGAACGGAUCCGACGGUGAGGGACGAAGCCCUGGGUCGCAAACGGGAUUAGAUACCCCGGUAGUCCAGGGUGUAAACGCUGCCGACUUGGUGUUGGAGGCCCUUCGGGGGCAUUCAGUGCCGGAGAGAAGUUGUUAAGUCGGCUACUUGGGGAGUACGUCCGCAAGGAUGAAACUUAAAGGAAUUGGCGGGGGAGCAC
This 789-nucleotide ribosomal RNA is filed under the name uncultured archaeon. RNAcentral describes it as "bacterial SSU rRNA". It matches the Rfam family "Archaeal small subunit ribosomal RNA", at positions 88 to 879 of the family's 1478-position model. The record is from RNAcentral.